AACGAACGCUGGCGGCAUGCCUAACACAUGCAAGUCGAACGAGACCUUCGGGUCUAGUGGCGCACGGGUGCGUAACGCGUGGGAACCUGCCCUUAGGUUCGGUAUAACUCCCCGUAAGGUGUGCUAAUACCGGUUAAUGUCUUCGGACCAACGAUUUAUCGCCUCUGGAUGGGCCCGCGUUGGAUUAGCUAGUUGGUAGGGUAAAAGCCUACCAAGGCGACGAUCCAUAGCUGGUCUGAGAGGAUGAUCAGCCAGACUGGGGCUGAGACACGGCCCAGACUGCGACGGAGGGGAGCAGUAGGGAAUAUUAGGGAAUGGGCGAAAGCCUGGUCCAGCAACGCCGCGUGUGUGAUGAAGGCCUUAGGAUUGUAAAGCUCUUUGACCCGGGAUGAUAAUGACAGUACCGGGAGAAUAAGCUCCGGCUAACUCCGUG
RNAcentral lists this ribosomal RNA (433 nucleotides) under uncultured bacterium. RNAcentral describes it as "partial 16S ribosomal RNA". It matches the Rfam family "Bacterial small subunit ribosomal RNA", at positions 29 to 507 of the family's 1533-position model. The record is from RNAcentral.